AUAGGGGAGCCGAAGGGAAACCGAGUCUUAACUGGGCGUUAAGUUGCAGGGUAUAGACCCGAAACCCGGUGAUCUAGCCAUGGGCAGGUUGAAGGUUGGGUAACACUAACUGGAGGACCGAACCGACUAAUGUUGAAAAAUUAGCGGAUGACUUGUGGCUGGGGGUGAAAGGCCAAUCAAACCGGGAGAUAGCUGGUUCUCCCCGAAAGCUAUUUAGGUAGCGCCUCGUGAACUCAUCUUCGGGGGUAGAGCACUGUUUCGGCUAGGGGGUCAUCCCGACUUACCAACCCGAUGCAAACUGCGAAUACCGAAGAAUGUUAUCACGGGAGACACACGGCGGGUGCUAACGUCCGUCGUGAAGAGGGAAACAACCCAGACCGCCAGCUAAGGUCCCAAAGUCACAGUUAAGUGGGAAACGAUGUGGGAAGGCUCAGACAGCCAGGAUGUUGGCUUAGAAGCAGCCAUCAUUUAAAGAAAGCGUAAUAGCUCACUGGUCGAGUCGGCCUGCGCGGAAGAUGUAACGGGGCUAAACUGUGCACCGAAGCUGCGGCAGCGACGCUUAUGCGUUGUUGGGUAGGGGAGCGUUCUGUAAGCCUGCGAAGGUGUCCUGUGAGGGAUGCUGGAGGUAUCAGAAGUGCGAAUGCUGACAUAAGUAACGAUAAUGCGGGUGAAAAGCCCGCUCGCCGGAAGACCAAGGGUUCCUGUCCAACGUUAAUCGGGGCAGGGUGAGUCGACCCCUAAGGCGAGGCCGAAAGGCGUAGUCGAUGGGAAACGGGUUAAUAUUCCCGUACUUGGUGUUACUGCGAAGGGGGGACGGAGAAGGCUAUGUUGGCCGGGCGACGGUUGUCCCGGUUUAAGCGUGUAGGCUGGUUUUCCAGGCAAAUCCGGAAAAUCAAG
RNAcentral lists this ribosomal RNA (897 nucleotides) under Salmonella enterica. RNAcentral's name for it is "bacterial LSU rRNA". It matches the Rfam family "Bacterial large subunit ribosomal RNA", at positions 657 to 1554 of the family's 2925-position model. Lineage: Bacteria; Pseudomonadati; Pseudomonadota; Gammaproteobacteria; Enterobacterales; Enterobacteriaceae. RNAcentral also lists the same sequence under 2 other names. The record is from RNAcentral.